This 253-nucleotide ribosomal RNA is filed under the name uncultured bacterium. RNAcentral describes it as "partial 16S ribosomal RNA". It matches the Rfam family "Bacterial small subunit ribosomal RNA", at positions 524 to 776 of the family's 1533-position model. The record is from RNAcentral.
UACGUAGGGGGCAAGCGUUGUCCGGAUUUAUUGGGCGUAAAGAGCGUGUAGGCGGCCAGGUAGGUCUGCUGUGAAAACUCGAGGCUUAACCUCGAGCUGUCGGCGGAAACCAUCUGGCUAGAGUCCGGAAGAGGAGAAUGGAAUUCCAGGUGUAGCGGUGAAAUGCGUAGAUAUCUGGAGGAACACCGGUGGCGAAGGCGGCAUCCUGGACCAUUACUGACGCUGAGGAGCGAAAGCCAGGGGAGCAAACGGG